GACGAACGCGGCGGCGUGCCUAAUACUGCAAGUCGAACGAGAGCGACCGGUGCUUGCACUGGUCAAUCUAGUGGCGAACGGGUGAGUAACACGUGGGUAACCUGCCCAUCAGAGGGGGAUAACAUCCGGAAACGGAUGCUAAAACCGCAUAGGUUUCGAGCCGCAUGGCUUGAAGAGGAAAAGAGGCGCAAGCUUCUGCUGAUGGAUGGACCCGCGGUGCAUUAGCUAGUUGGUGAGGUAACGGCUCACCAAGGCCGUGAUGCAUAGCCGACCUGAGAGGGUGAUCGGCCACAUUGGGACUGAGACACGGCCCAAACUCCUACGGGAGGCAGCAGUAGGGAAUCUUCCGCAAUGGACGCAAGUCUGACGGAGCAACGCCGCGUGAGUGAAGAAGGUUUUCGGAUCGUAAAACUCUGUUGUUAGAGAAGAACAAGUGCUAGAGUAACUGUUAGCGCCUUGACG
RNAcentral lists this ribosomal RNA (462 nucleotides) under Granulicatella adiacens. RNAcentral describes it as "bacterial SSU rRNA". It matches the Rfam family "Bacterial small subunit ribosomal RNA", at positions 28 to 474 of the family's 1533-position model. The record is from RNAcentral. Lineage: Bacteria; Bacillati; Bacillota; Bacilli; Lactobacillales; Carnobacteriaceae.